RNAcentral lists this ribosomal RNA (1157 nucleotides) under Bacillus zhangzhouensis. Its description in RNAcentral is "bacterial SSU rRNA". It matches the Rfam family "Bacterial small subunit ribosomal RNA", at positions 155 to 1299 of the family's 1533-position model. Lineage: Bacteria; Bacillati; Bacillota; Bacilli; Caryophanales; Bacillaceae. The record is from RNAcentral.
AACCGGAGCUAAUACCGGAUAGUUCCUUGAACCGCAUGGUUCAAGGAUGAAAGACGGUUUCGGCUGUCACUUACAGAUGGACCCGCGGCGCAUUAGCUAGUUGGUGGGGUAAUGGCUCACCAAGGCGACGAUGCGUAGCCGACCUGAGAGGGUGAUCGGCCACACUGGGACUGAGACACGGCCCAGACUCCUACGGGAGGCAGCAGUAGGGAAUCUUCCGCAAUGGACGAAAGUCUGACGGAGCAACGCCGCGUGAGUGAUGAAGGUUUUCGGAUCGUAAAGCUCUGUUGUUAGGGAAGAACAAGUGCGAGAGUAACUGCUCGCACCUUGACGGUACCUAACCAGAAAGCCACGGCUAACUACGUGCCAGCAGCCGCGGUAAUACGUAGGUGGCAAGCGUUGUCCGGAAUUAUUGGGCGUAAAGGGCUCGCAGGCGGUUUCUUAAGUCUGAUGUGAAAGCCCCCGGCUCAACCGGGGAGGGUCAUUGGAAACUGGGAAACUUGAGUGCAGAAGAGGAGAGUGGAAUUCCACGUGUAGCGGUGAAAUGCGUAGAGAUGUGGAGGAACACCAGUGGCGAAGGCGACUCUCUGGUCUGUAACUGACGCUGAGGAGCGAAAGCGUGGGGAGCGAACAGGAUUAGAUACCCUGGUAGUCCACGCCGUAAACGAUGAGUGCUAAGUGUUAGGGGGUUUCCGCCCCUUAGUGCUGCAGCUAACGCAUUAAGCACUCCGCCUGGGGAGUACGGUCGCAAGACUGAAACUCAAAGGAAUUGACGGGGGCCCGCACAAGCGGUGGAGCAUGUGGUUUAAUUCGAAGCAACGCGAAGAACCUUACCAGGUCUUGACAUCCUCUGACAACCCUAGAGAUAGGGCUUUCCCUUCGGGGACAGAGUGACAGGUGGUGCAUGGUUGUCGUCAGCUCGUGUCGUGAGAUGUUGGGUUAAGUCCCGCAACGAGCGCAACCCUUGAUCUUAGUUGCCAGCAUUUAGUUGGGCACUCUAAGGUGACUGCCGGUGACAAACCGGAGGAAGGUGGGGAUGACGUCAAAUCAUCAUGCCCCUUAUGACCUGGGCUACACACGUGCUACAAUGGACAGAACAAAGGGCUGCGAGACCGCAAGGUUUAGCCAAUCCCAUAAAUCUGUUCUCAGUUCGGAUC